UUUAAUUGAGUGGAGCUAACGAGUCAAUUUAGGCAUAAACGAGCGUUAGUCGAGUCGAGUCGAGUUGAGUUUAGUUGAGUAUGUGUCAUUUAUUAAUCGAGCGGGUAUCUAUUUUCACGGUCGAACUUUUUUUUUACGAGUCGAGUUCGAUUCAAA
This is a long non-coding RNA of Juglans microcarpa x Juglans regia, 156 nucleotides long. RefSeq lists it as uncharacterized. The transcript has 4 exons. NCBI's taxonomy places the organism in Eukaryota, Viridiplantae, Streptophyta, Magnoliopsida, Fagales, Juglandaceae. The record is from RefSeq and is a predicted model, not a curated record.